UGAGGAAUAUUGGUCAAUGGGCGCGAGCCUGAACCAGCCAAGUAGCGUGAAGGAUGAAGGUCCUAUGGAUUGUAAACUUCUUUUAUAGCAGAAUAAAGUGACCCACGUGUGGGUUUUUGUAUGUAUGCUAUGAAUAAGGAUCGGCUAACUCCGUGCCAGCAGCCGCGGUAAUACGGAGGAUCCGAGCGUUAUCCGGAUUUAUUGGGUUUAAAGGGUGCGUAGGCGGAAAGAUAAGUCAGCCUGUGAAAGUUUGCGGCUCAACCGUAAAAUUGCAGUUGAUACUGUUUUUCUUGCGUGUACAUAAGGUAGGCGGAAUUCGUGGUGUAGCGGUGAAAUGCUUAGAUAUCACGAAGAACUCCGAUUGCGAAGGCAGCUUACCGGGGUACAACUGACGCUGAUGCACGAAAGUGUGGGUAUCAAACA
RNAcentral lists this ribosomal RNA (423 nucleotides) under uncultured bacterium. RNAcentral's name for it is "bacterial SSU rRNA". It matches the Rfam family "Bacterial small subunit ribosomal RNA", at positions 355 to 774 of the family's 1533-position model. The record is from RNAcentral.